Long non-coding RNA from Populus trichocarpa (black cottonwood), 450 nucleotides. RefSeq lists it as uncharacterized. The record is from RefSeq and is a predicted model, not a curated record. Lineage: Eukaryota; Viridiplantae; Streptophyta; Magnoliopsida; Malpighiales; Salicaceae. The transcript is spliced from 2 exons.
ACUACAGAGGCAAAAAAAAGUCAGUUGCGAGGGCAAAACUUUUAUUUGGAACAAAAUAUUCAGAAAUUUUGGAGGAAAAUCUUAAGUCAGAGGAUUUAGAGUAACAAUGCUAAACAAUGACAAAACAAGCAAGAAAGCCAGUUGAUUUAUCAGAAGUUCUGACAAGAAUAUAAUAUGCAAGAUGAAGUUGCACACCAAUAACGCAAAAGAUUGCAUAAAUAUAGGAUUCAGUAAACUACAAUACAUCCAGUAAAAAAAUGGAAACACUGCAAGAGAUGCAAGAAGGUUUGAAUGAUUAGGUUACCUGGUUUAGUGUUUGAUCUCGUUCGUCAUUGAAACUUCUACCACGUUUUCCCCCAACUGCAUCAAGUUCAUCGAUGAAUAUAAUUGACGGAGAAGAUUUUCUUGCUGCAUUAAAGAGAUCUCUAAUCCGAGCUGCUCCUCUACCAA